ACCAAACGAAAGUUUGGCUAAUACCGCGUAAGCUCCAAGGAGGAAAGUAGGGGACCUAAAUAAGGCCUUACGCUAUUUGAUCGGCCGAUGUCGGAUUAGCUAGUUGGUGGGGUAAUGGCUCACCAAGGCAAUGAUCCGUAGCGGGUCUGAGAGGACGAUCCGCCACACUGGGACUGAGACACGGCCCAG
This 189-nucleotide ribosomal RNA is filed under the name uncultured Neisseriales bacterium. RNAcentral describes it as "partial 16S ribosomal RNA". It matches the Rfam family "Bacterial small subunit ribosomal RNA", at positions 146 to 334 of the family's 1533-position model. The record is from RNAcentral. Lineage: Bacteria; Pseudomonadati; Pseudomonadota; Betaproteobacteria; Neisseriales.